Molecule: ribosomal RNA, 253 nt
Filed under: uncultured bacterium
Lineage: Bacteria
Description: partial 16S ribosomal RNA
Rfam family: Bacterial small subunit ribosomal RNA
Source: RNAcentral
UACGGAGGGGGCUAGCGUUGUUCGGAAUUACUGGGCGUAAAGCGCACGUAGGCGGCUUUGCAAGUUAGAGGUGAAAGCCCGGGGCUCAACUCCGGAAUUGCCUUUAAAACUGCAUCGCUAGAAUUGUGGAGAGGUAAGUGGAAUUCCGAGUGUAGAGGUAAAAUUCGUAGAUAUUCGGAAGAACACCAGUGGCGAAGGCGACUUACUGGACACAUAUUGACGCUGAGGUGCGAAAGCGUGGGGAGCAAACAGG